CCGCGGUAAUAUUGCGCAAUGGGGGAAACCCUGACGCAGCGACGCCGCGUGGGUGAUGAAGGCCUUCGGGUCGUAAAGCCCUGUCGGAAGGAACGAAUGGUCCUGGAGUGAAUAAUUUCAGGAUUUGACGGUACCUUCAAAGGAAGCACCGGCUAACUCCGUG
This 163-nucleotide ribosomal RNA is filed under the name uncultured soil bacterium. RNAcentral's name for it is "partial 16S ribosomal RNA". It matches the Rfam family "Bacterial small subunit ribosomal RNA", at positions 352 to 507 of the family's 1533-position model. The record is from RNAcentral.